Long non-coding RNA from Equus asinus (donkey), 2543 nucleotides. The record is from Ensembl. NCBI's taxonomy places the organism in Eukaryota, Metazoa, Chordata, Mammalia, Perissodactyla, Equidae.
CUCGGUCCAGAGGCGCCGCUGCGCCCAGGAGGCCGAGCAGGUUGGCCCGGCGCCGGCUCCGAGCGUCCGGCCUGUGCGCGCAGAGCCGCGCGGGAGGGUCGGCGGGGCGGCCCCGGGGCGAGAGCGCACGGCGGGUGUGAGCUCUGAGGGCGGGGCCCCGGGCGAGUCCCCUCAGGCGGCUGCAGCCUGGGGACAGCACGUGGGGCAAGUAACUCCUGAUACCGCCUGGGAUGAGCUGGUUUAUUCAGUGUCUGUUAGCUGCGUUUAAAAGAUAGGUGUCAGUAAUCUAAGUGGAAAGGGAAUGGUGAACUACCAUAGGACCCAGCUAUCCCACUACUGGGUAUCUCUUCAAAGAGCUUGAAGUCAGCAAUUCCAAAAGUCCUGUGCACCCCAAUGUUUAUUGCAGCAUUAUUUACAAUAGCCAAGACAUGGAAACAACCUAAGUGCUUCCAUGGAUAAAGAAGUUGUGACAGUUUCUGAGGGAAGAACCAUCAACAGCUUUUACUUAUUGCUGGAAGAAAGCGGCAAUCAGUGGAUGAGAAAGGAAAGUCUGAGUGAGUUCUACUUUCUUUAAGUCUCCAAAUGGACACUUAAGGGGGAAAAUGCUGAUCCAGAGCAAUGGCUGACAGUGUUCCGGAUUAAGUGAGAGCCUAUUCAUCCUCUAACAUGUAAGACUGAUUGGGAAACAGCUCUAUAUUUGUUUUCUAGAAAGACUCCACAGUUUAUACUUGUGGCCAACUAAUGUUACAUUUUGUCAUUCUUACUAAUUUUUUAUAGCAAUACCUCUUGCUCUUGAUGUCUCAAUACUUUACCUAAAAAUGCUCAUAAUUUCUAAUGGUAGAUCCAGGGAUAUUGUUAUUAUUGUUGUUGUCAUUAUCAGUAUUUUAAAGUACCAUUUAUUGAAAAUCUAUUAUUUGCCAGGUACUGUAAUACAAUUUAUCUUAAAACUCCAUGGAGAAGAGAUUGUUAUCAAACUGAGGUUUAUGAAGGAUUAUGCCUCUUGCCCAAGGCCAUAUAUGGCCUUCAACCUUUGGAUUUAAAACAGUGGCAGGGUAGAGAUUAAAACCCAAGUCAAAGCCCACACUCUUUGCCACUAUCCUGUACUCAUCUCGGGCCCCUGCUAAUCCAAGGCUUGGUUUACAUGGACUCUGGAGCCAUUAGGACUUAAAAGUUUAUUAGACACACAAAGUGAGAACAUCUUUCUUUCUUUCUUUCUUUCUUUCUUUAUUUAUUUAUUUUUGCAGGGGAAGAUUUGCCCUAAGCUAGCGUCUGUUGCCAAUCUUCCUCAUUUUUUCUUCGUUUUUUCCUCCCAAAGUCCCCAGUACAUAGUUGUGUAUAGUUGUAAGUUCUUCUGGUUCUUCUAAGUGUGCCAGCACCAUAGCAUGGCUACUGACAAAUGAGUCGUCUGGUUCUGUGCCUGGGAACUGAACCCAGGCUGCUGAAGUGGAGCACGCUGAACUUGAACUGCUAGGACAUCAGGCUGGCUCUAGAGAGCAUCCUUAAAACUGGGGAAAACAGAACAGGUUUUUGAAAUGGAGAAUCCUUUAAUUGUAAUUCUUUCCUCCUUUAAUUCCAGUGGAGAAUUUAGAGCCCCAUUAUCUUCCUUUCAGCUUUAACUGUUACAGGCAAAUAGAUUCAUUAAGUAAUGAAGUCCGGUUCUCCACCCAAGCCCUGCUCCCUGCCUUGCCAGGAACGGGGCUGGUGGAGUACACAGGGGCGCCCGCAGGAUUUGAGCCUCAUUCUAACUUUUCCCUUUUGUGGUCAGCUCACAGUAACUACCAGGUUUUGAAGUCCUUACUGUAUUCCAGCUGCUAUGCUAUGAUCUUUAGGUAGGAUAUUUCAUUUCAUUCUCACAACAACCUUAUGUCUACACAAAAUAACCCAUAACCAGUCUAUAGGUUAGAGAGAUAAGCUGAGUUUUACUUGAGCCAAGUUGAGGAUUAUAACCUGGGAAGGCAGUUUCCACAAAGGAAGAAAAUGUUCCAGAGAAGCAUGGUUUUCAGUACAGUUUUAUAGCUUUUUAGAACAAAGAACAUACCUUAAACAUGCCCAGGAUACAUACUCAUCAAAGUUUCAAAGAGGUAUUCAGUUAAAAAUUAGCAGGUCAACCUGACCCUGAUGUCCAGGAAAGGGAAGUUAUCUUCAGAGUGCUGAUAUGGGUGUUACUAAUAGGGAAUUACUGACACUGGAUACUGGCUGAGACUGGCAUUGUAGGAGGGGGCGUAUGCAUUCUUGUAAGAGAAUGCAUUCUUUAACAGUUAAAGCAGAUGUACAAUGUGUGUUUGAUAGGCAGUAAGUCAAGCUUCCUUAGUUCAAGCCAAAUCAGUUUUGAACCAGAAUGGCUACCCCAUAUACACAAUAUGUGAAAAUCUCAUAUCACUUAUGAAGUAGGUGUUGAUAUGACUCACAUCAAUGAAGUCUGAGAACAGAAAUUGAGCAGCUCCAGAACUAGAGCCCUAGGUGGUCAGACUCUAAAACUAAUCUCCGCUCUACAUUGUAAAUUUUUCUUGAAUCAAUAAUGAUUUCUCUUGCUCCUAUUUGGU